AUUGAACGCUGGCGGCAUGCUUUACACAUGCAAGUCGAACGGCAGCGGGGGCUUCGGCCUGCCGGCGAGUGGCGAACGGGUGAGUAAUGCAUCGGAACGUGCCCAUGUCGUGGGGGAUAACGUAUCGAAAGGUACGCUAAUACCGCAUACGUCCUUAGGGAGAAAGCGGGGGAUCUUCGGACCUCGCGCGAUUGGAGCGGCCGAUGUCGGAUUAGCUAGUAGGUGAGGUAAAGGCUCACCUAGGCGACGAUCCGUAGCGGGUCUGAGAGGAUGAUCCGCCCCACUGGGACGGGGACACGGCCCAGACUCCUACGGGAGGCAGCAGUGGGGAAUUUUGGACAAUGGGCGCAAGCCUGGUCCAGCCAUGCCGCGUGAGUGAAGAAGGCCUUCGGGUUGUAAAGCUCUUUCGGCCGGGAAGAAAUCGGCGACUCUAACAUAGUCGCUGGAUGACGGUACCGGACUAAGAAGCACCGGCUAACUACGUGCCAGCCGCCGCGGUAA
This 501-nucleotide ribosomal RNA is filed under the name uncultured bacterium. Its description in RNAcentral is "partial 16S ribosomal RNA". It matches the Rfam family "Bacterial small subunit ribosomal RNA", at positions 28 to 523 of the family's 1533-position model. The record is from RNAcentral.